CACUGCUCAGGCGUUACGAGGGCGGAGACGCCGCGGCAACUCCGCGGCAGUUGUCGCGGAUCCCGCACAACUGCCGCAAGCAUCGCGGAGGUGAACGGGCCACGACCAAUUCGAAGACCGCCUAUAUAAAAAAAUAUAAAAAAACCCGAAAGCUCACCAGUUCGGGACCCCCCCUCCCCUCACGGUUUCUCUUUCCCCUUCUUCCCUCAGGGUUAGGGCUUCCUGAACCCACGUCGAUGUCGCCGAAGAUGGUACUCGCAGCUUCCCCAGAGCUAGAUAAUUAAGAUUGCUAAAAGCAAGGAGCUCGACGUACUUCAGGGUUUGGGAAAAUUGAAUAUCAAAUGUUAAAAUUUUAGAAGCUCUGUACCGUUCCAUUCCGAUGAAACUUGUUAUGACAUUUGUAAAUAAAAAACUGUUCAUUUUUUUUAUGAAAUUUUAAGUGGCUUCGUAUUAUUGUACGCAUAAGGUUGCAAUAGUACGACCGUGUUAUGAUCCAGAUUCGGGACGUGACACCUUGUAUUUGAAACA
Non-coding RNA from Phoenix dactylifera (date palm), 528 nucleotides. NCBI's taxonomy places the organism in Eukaryota, Viridiplantae, Streptophyta, Magnoliopsida, Arecales, Arecaceae. The record is from RefSeq and is a predicted model, not a curated record.